AGAUUAAGUUAUUAAGGGCGCACGGUGGAUGCCUUGGCACUAGAAGCCGAUGAAGGACGUUACUAACGACGAUAUGCUUUGGGGAGCUGUAAGUAAGCUUUGAUCCAGAGAUUUCCGAAUGGGGAAACCCAGCAUGAGUUAUGUCAUGUUAUCGAUAUGUGAAUACAUAGCAUAUCAGAAGGCACACCCGGAGAACUGAAACAUCUUAGUACCCGGAGGAAGAGAAAGAAAAUUCGAUUCCCUUAGUAGCGGCGAGCGAAACGGGAAGAGCCCAAACCAACAAGCUUGCUUGUUGGGGUUGUAGGACACUCUAUACGGAGUUACAAAGGACGACAUUAGACGAAUC
Molecule: ribosomal RNA, 346 nt
Filed under: Staphylococcus aureus
Lineage: Bacteria; Bacillati; Bacillota; Bacilli; Caryophanales; Staphylococcaceae
Description: partial 23S ribosomal RNA
Rfam family: Bacterial large subunit ribosomal RNA
Source: RNAcentral